CCUACGGGAGGCAGCAGUGAGGAAUAUUGGUCAAUGGCCGGAAGGCUGAACCAGCCAAGCCGCGUGAGGGAGGAAGGCGCAGAGCGUCGCAGACCUCUUUUGCCUGGGGACAAAAUGCCGGACUCGUCCGGUCCUGAGGGUACCCGGAGAACAAGCAUCGGCUAACUCCGUGCCAGCAGCCGCGGUAAUACGGAGGAUGCGAGCGUUAUCCGGAUUCAUUGGGUUUAAAGGGUGCGCAGGCGGACCUUUAAGCCGGCGGUGAAAUCGCGGGGCUCAACCCCGCGUAGCCGUCGGAACUGGGUGUCGUGAGUGCAGUGGAGGCAUGCGGAAUGCGUGGUGUAGCGGUGAAAUGCAUAGAUAUCGCGCAGAACCCCGAUUGCGAAGGCAGUGUGCCGUGCCGCCACUGACGCUGAGGCACGAAAGCGUGGGGAUCGAACAGGAUUAGAUACCCUAGUAGUC
This 459-nucleotide ribosomal RNA is filed under the name uncultured bacterium. Its description in RNAcentral is "partial 16S ribosomal RNA". It matches the Rfam family "Bacterial small subunit ribosomal RNA", at positions 338 to 795 of the family's 1533-position model. The record is from RNAcentral.